Molecule: ribosomal RNA, 463 nt
Filed under: uncultured bacterium
Lineage: Bacteria
Description: partial 16S ribosomal RNA
Rfam family: Bacterial small subunit ribosomal RNA
Source: RNAcentral
GAUGAACGCUGACAGAAUGCUUAACACAUGCAAGUCUUUGGCGAAGCUGUGCUUGCACAGCCUAGCCAAGGCGGACGGGUGAGUAACGCGUAAGGAACUUGCCCUGCAGUCAGGGAUAACAGACGGAAACGACUGAUAAGACCUGGUAAAGUCAGGCGGACUCAUGUCCAGCCUGAUGAAAAGAGAUGCUGCAGGAGAGCCUUGCGUCCUAUUAGCUUGUUGGUGGGGUAACGGCCCACCAAGGCGAUGAUAGGUAGCCGGCCUGAGAGGGUGGACGGCCACAAGGGGACUGAGAUACGGCCCUUACUCCUACGGGAGGCAGCAGUGGGGAAUAUUGGACAAUGGGGGCAACCCUGAUCCAGCAAUUCUGUGUGCACGAUGAAGGUUUUCGGAUUGUAAAGUGAUUUCAGCAGGGAAGAAAAAAAUGACGGUACCUGCAGAAGAAGCGACGGCUAAAUACGUG